Molecule: ribosomal RNA, 579 nt
Filed under: uncultured bacterium
Lineage: Bacteria
Description: bacterial SSU rRNA
Rfam family: Bacterial small subunit ribosomal RNA
Source: RNAcentral
GCGGCUUCGGCCGUGAGUAGAGCGGCGGACGGGUGAGGAACACGUGGGUAACCUACCCUUGGGUGGGGAAUAACCCAGGGAAACCUGGGCUAAUUCCGCAUAACAUCCUUAGCUCACAAGAGUUUUGGAUCAAAGCCGGGGACCCUUCGGGGCCUGGCGCCAGAGGAGGGGCCCGCGGCCGAUUAGCUUGUUGGUGAGGUAACGGCUCACCAAGGCUCCGAUCGGUAGCCGGCCUAAGAGGGCGGACGGCCACACUGGGACUGAGACACGGCCCAGACUCCUACGGGAGGCAGCAGUGGGGAAUUUUUGUCAAUGGGGGAAACCCUGAACAAGCAACGCCGCGUGGAGGACGAAGACCUUCGGGUCGUAAACUCCUGUCGGAGGGGACGAAAGCGGCAACGGUUAAUACCCGUAGUCGUUGACGGUACCCUUAGAGGAAGCCCCGGCUAACUCCGUGCCAGCAGCCGCGGUAAUACGGGGGGGGCAAGCGUUGUUCGGAAUUACUGGGCGUAAAGGGCGUGUAGGCGGCCCUGCAAGUCUUUCGUGAAAUCCCACAGCUCAACUGUGGAACUGCGAGGG